Molecule: ribosomal RNA, 475 nt
Filed under: uncultured bacterium
Lineage: Bacteria
Description: bacterial SSU rRNA
Rfam family: Bacterial small subunit ribosomal RNA
Source: RNAcentral
AGCAGUGGGGAAUAUUGCACAAUGGGGGAAACCCUGAUGCAGCGACGCCGCGUGAAGGAAGAAGUAUCUCGGUAUGUAAACUUCUAUCAGCAGGGAAGAAAAUGACGGUACCUGACUAAGAAGCCCCGGCUAACUACGUGCCAGCAGCCGCGGUAAUACGUAGGGGGCAAGCGUUAUCCGGAUUUACUGGGUGUAAAGGGAGCGUAGACGGAAGAGCAAGUCUGAUGUGAAAGGCUGGGGCUUAACCCCAGGACUGCAUUGGAAACUGUUUUUCUAGAGUGCCGGAGAGGUAAGCGGAAUUCCUAGUGUAGCGGUGAAAUGCGUAGAUAUUAGGAGGAACACCAGUGGCGAAGGCGGCUUACUGGACGGUAACUGGCGUUGAGGCUCGAAAGCGUGGGGAGCAAACAGGAUUAGAUACCCUGGUAGUCCACGCCGUAAACGAAGAAUACUAGGUGUCGGGUGGCAAAGCCAUUCG